AUUAGCGGCGGACGGGUGAGUAACACGUGAGUAACCUGCCUUAGACAUUGGGAUAGCCUCGGGAAACCGGGAUUAAUACCAAAUAAAAUCAUAAUGACACAUGUCAUAACGAUCAAAACUCCGGUGGUCUAAGAUGGACUCGCGUCCCAUUAGCUAGUUGGUAGAGUAAAAGCCUACCAAGGCGACGAUGGGUAGCCGGCCUGAGAGGGUGAACGGCCACAUUGGAACUGAGAAACGGUCCAAACUCCUACGGGAGGCAGCAGUGGGGAAUAUUGCACAAUGGAGGGAACUCUGAUGCAGCGACGCCGCGUGAACGAAGAAGGCUUUCGAGUCGUAAAGUUCUUUUAUAUGGGAAGAUAAUGACGGUACCAUAAGAAAAAGCCCCGGCUAACUACGUGCCAGCAGCCGCGGUAAUACGUAGGGGGCUAGCGUUGUCCGGAAUCACUGGGCGUAAAGGGUUCGCAGGCGGAAAUGCAAGUCAGAUGUAAAAGGCAGUAGCUUAACUACUGUAAGCAUUUGAAACUGCAUAUCUUGAGAAGAGUAGAGGUAAGUGGAAUUUUUAGUGUAGCGGUGA
Molecule: ribosomal RNA, 574 nt
Filed under: uncultured Eubacteriales bacterium
Lineage: Bacteria; Bacillati; Bacillota; Clostridia; Eubacteriales
Description: bacterial SSU rRNA
Rfam family: Bacterial small subunit ribosomal RNA
Source: RNAcentral